Molecule: ribosomal RNA, 253 nt
Filed under: uncultured bacterium
Lineage: Bacteria
Description: partial 16S ribosomal RNA
Rfam family: Bacterial small subunit ribosomal RNA
Source: RNAcentral
UACGUAGGGCGCAAGCGUUAUCCGGAAUUAUUGGGCGUAAAGAGCUCGUAGGCGGUUUGUCGCGUCUGCCGUGAAAGUCCGGGGCUCAACUCCGGAUCUGCGGUGGGUACGGGCAGACUAGAGUGAUGUAGGGGAGACUGGAAUUCCUGGUGUAGCGGUGAAAUGCGCAGAUAUCAGGAGGAAUACCUAUGGCGAAAGCAGGUCUCUGGGCCAUAACUGACGCUGAGCUGCGAAAGAGUGGGGAGCGAACAGG